Molecule: ribosomal RNA, 422 nt
Filed under: uncultured bacterium
Lineage: Bacteria
Description: bacterial SSU rRNA
Rfam family: Bacterial small subunit ribosomal RNA
Source: RNAcentral
UCUUCCGCAAUGGACGAAAGUCUGACGGAGCAACGCCGCGUGAGUGAUUAAGGUUUUCGGACCGUAAAACUCUGUUGUUAGGGAAGAACAAGUACCGUUCGAAUAGGGCGGCACCUUGACGGUACCUAACCAUAAAGCCAUGGCUAACUACGUGCCAGCAGCCGCGGUAAUACGUAGGUGGCAAGCGUUGUCCGGAAUUAUUUGGCGUAAAGCGCGCGCAGGCGGUUUCUUAAGUCUGAUGUGAAGGCCCCCGGCUCAACCGGGGAGGGUCAUUGGAAACUGGGGAAGUUGAGUGCAGAAGAGGAGAGUGGAAUUCCACGUGUAGCGGUGAAAUGCGUAGAGAUGUGGAGGAACACCAGUGGCGAAGGCGACUCUCUGGUCUGUAACUGACGCUGAGGCGCGAAAGCGUGGGGAGCGAACAG